GGGUGGUACUUGCCUGGACAUACUCUCAUGGUGUUUAGAUAGGUUUCGUGAGAUGUAUCCGAAUGCUCCGUGUGUGACUUCUGAGUUUAUUUAAUAACAGUGCUUUAUAUGCCUACGUGUAUUUUGAACAGAUGUUGUUUUAUUAGAGUGAUUUUAUUUAUAUGUAAUUUUUUUUAUAAGGUGUAUUUUAUUUGUUAUUUUCCUCCCUUGCAUUGGAGCGUUGUGAGUAGUGUCGACUCUGGAUGGUGGUUUGUGCUUCUUGAUUGUUACUUUGGUAAAUUAUAGUUACGUAGAUUUUGAUUUUUAUUUCCAUUGCCUCCGCUGUUUAGUUUGAUUUACUGUUGUAGGUUUCGGUGAUUUUGGUAUUAGCGUUGGAUAAUGGAUUGGAGGCAUCGUCGUCAGAGAUUCCCACGCGGACUGUCCUAGUGUGUAUCCUAUUUGUUUUCUUGUAUUUAAUUUAAUUUUUUCCUUUUUGGUUUAUCUUUAUUCGCUGCAUAUGGUGUUUCAGUGCAAGAAGAAGAAGAAGUGUUGUCAAGAAUCCGUGAGUGGCCCCAGAAGACGCAGUCAUCGUGUGUGAGCAGGAACGAAGAGUCGAGUUUACUGAGGAAGUGGGAUCAAGCCUAUGUGUCACCUUGGAACAACUCAUGAAAAUCGUGGACCGGAUAACUCAGCCUAAGAAGCAAAGACCGAGACUACUCGAUACAAGACAGAACAAUUCCUUUCGCGUUGUGGUGGCAAAGAGACAGCCGCCUCGGCGUUAAUAAGGAUAUUCAGAGAACGACCGUCGGAGACCGAAUCCCCAGGAGCCUACGCCGACAUCUUCGCCAGGAAAUUCACCGACGGAACCCGAAGCCAAACGAUGCAAGCUAUCGGGCCACCAGGAUGCAUAGCGAACAGCAGAAGGAUACACGACGCCAGGAAAAAAACCGACCAGCCACAUCGUCCAAGAUGGUUUGCUUCAAGUGUCGUGCGGAGGGUAGUAUCGCACCUGAUUGUCCGCUACUGCAGAACAGAAAACCCGGCCUCAAGAACGAACGUCGAGUCGACUCCUGCGUGAUGGAGUCUCUACCUGGUAGUUUAAGUCAUCUGGGUGAGUCGUUCCCAUUUUAUUUAGAUUCCGGAGCCGAAUGCUCAUUAAUCAAAGAAUCUGUAGCCUCGAAAUUUUCUGGCAAACGAACGACUGAUGUAGUAGUAAUGCGAGGCAUAGGGAAUACUUGUGUUAACAGUACAUCUCAGAUCUUGUCCACUGUAUGUAUUGUGGCGGAUCGGUAUCAAUAGGACGCAGAUAGGUCGAGGCAUCAACGCGGCGCAACACCUCCCGGGCGAUCCGCUGGUACCAACCGCCAACACUAGAGGGCUACGACGACAACGAGUCUGUCUAACUCGCUAGCGGUCGAAUAUACGAGCGAUUGAUACAAAUACCGCACCUAGCGAGACUCCCUCUACGUCUAAGGCAGGGACUACCGGGCAUAGCCUUACUGACGAGUCCACCGGUAGUCCCGGGACGAAACGCACAACUCUCUUUCCAUCCGCCACAUUGGUGACCACCGACAACGAACACGCACCUUUGGAGAAGGAGUCAGGAAAGGAGCCAACCACCGACGACGAACACGCCAAGCAGGUGACCGGAUACGAGACGACGACCAAGCCAGGAAGUGAUGUAGCCAUUGCAAUAGUUCAUGGGCAUCACCUCCAGCAACACGUCAGAGAAAGAGACAACCAUCUCGUCCCCACGACGAUCAGCCUUCCAUCAUCGAUGACGAGCCAUUUCCUCUAACUUGUAUCGCGCUAUAUAGCUUUGGGGUCACGCUAUAGCGCUAGGGGGAGGCUGUGUGGCGGAUCGGUAUCAAUGGGACGCAGACAGGUCGAGGCAUCAACGCGGCGCAACACCUCCCGGGCGAUCCGCUGGUACCAACCGCCAACACUAGAGGGCUACGACGACAACGAGUCUGUCUAACUCGCUAGCGGUCGAAUAUACGAGCGAUUGAUACAAAUACCGCACCUAGCGAGACUCCCUCUACGUCUAAGGCAGGGACUACCGGGCAUAGCCUUACUGACGAGUCCACCGGUAGUCCCGGGACGAAACGCACAACUCUCUUUUCAUCCGCCACAGUAUUAA
This is a long non-coding RNA of Bombus huntii, 2119 nucleotides long. RefSeq lists it as uncharacterized. The record is from RefSeq and is a predicted model, not a curated record. Lineage: Eukaryota; Metazoa; Arthropoda; Insecta; Hymenoptera; Apidae. The transcript has 2 exons.